GAAGCCCUAACUGAUUCAUAAUUAACGUAUAGGUUACUUGAUAUUUUUAGGAUAUGUUUGUUUCAUAGUCUAGGCGUGCAACAAAAAAGUAUUUAAAAUAAUUUUGAUUUUAAGGGAUUGGAAUGGGCAAAAAAUAGGCGUUUUUUGAUAUUUUUGGUACGAUUAUCUAAAUGUUUAAAUAAUUUAUUAUUGUUUAUUCAUGUUUUACCUUACUGGAAUGGAUGAUUUGAUUGUCCGUGUUAUAAUUAUAACUAUUAUUGGAUCUGCGAAAGGCUAAUCAGUUU
Non-coding RNA from Cinara cedri, 284 nucleotides. Lineage: Eukaryota; Metazoa; Arthropoda; Insecta; Hemiptera; Aphididae. The record is from the annotation of a GenBank genome assembly.